Molecule: ribosomal RNA, 253 nt
Filed under: uncultured bacterium
Lineage: Bacteria
Description: partial 16S ribosomal RNA
Rfam family: Bacterial small subunit ribosomal RNA
Source: RNAcentral
UACGAAGGGGGCUAGCGUUGCUCGGAAUUACUGGGCGUAAAGGGCGCGUAGGCGGCUAGUUUAGUCAGAGGUGAAAGCCCAGGGCUCAACCUUGGAAUUGCCUUUGAUACUGGCUAUCUUGAGUAUGGGAGAGGUGUGUGGAACUCCGAGUGUAGAGGUGAAAUUCGUAGAUAUUCGGAAGAACACCAGUGGCGAAGGCGACACACUGGCCCAUUACUGACGCUGAGGCUCGAAAGCGUGGGGAGCAAACAGG